This 1266-nucleotide unclassified non-coding RNA is filed under the name Hevea brasiliensis (rubber tree). The record is from RNAcentral. Lineage: Eukaryota; Viridiplantae; Streptophyta; Magnoliopsida; Malpighiales; Euphorbiaceae.
UUUUAAUAGCAAGAAGAGCUUUCAUGAUUGAAUACGGCUAAAAAUUCCAACACUACAAGUUCUUUAACAGUGUGAUCAUAAUUUCUCUACAAAAUUAUCAUCUUUAUUAUCCAUGGAUCAUAAUGAUUCCAAGCAUUCCAAAGAGAGACCGGCGGGCAAAGGCAUGGUGGGUAAAGCGAGUCGCGUCAGAACUUCGAUAGACUCAUUUCUUACAAAUUAUAUGGAAAGUCGGUCCAAAUAAUCAACUGAAAAAGAAAAAAGUCCUCCAUUGUUUAUACCAAAUAUUGUUAUCGUCUCCCUACAGGACUGAUGACAGCUGACAGCAACUGUGAUCUUCUAAACAAUUACCUGCAUCCAAUGAGAAACUCUACUCAAUAUGUGCUUCAGAGGACAGACAUCCCCCAGGCGUGAUUUUCUGGUGCAUGCCUUCAGUGAUCCCUCUCCACAUAACCAAGCCUGCUCAUCCUGUUACGGUCGUCUAAGUAGUCGUGAUUAUUAUAAUGAUGUGGCACAUAAUCAUUCCAAUGCUUGCCCUCAGGCAUCUUGUCUGGUGGGCUCCAUGACUUUCGCUUGCGUUUGCUUGAUUUGGGUGAAUGCAAGCCCUGGUCCAUGUCAUCGGGAACUUCACCUUCUUCCAUGUUCAAAUCUGAUUUAUGUGAUAAAUGCCCCUUCAUUCCUCGACUUUCUCCAUCCCCUGCAUCCUCUUGAUGUUUUUCAUGAUGUAGGUUUUCAUGCUCAUGCCUGUCCAAGGGCUUAGAAUAGCUCUGCCUCCUGUCCCGCUUACUCUUCUCACUCUCUGCAGCUAGUUCAAUACCAGCUUCCAGUUCCCUCUCAAUGAGAUCAUCCUCGUCCAAGAGGUCAGUUUUCCUUGUAACAUCACCCCUUGACUUCUUCCGUUUCUCCAGCGCUGCCUUUACUUUGUCUCUGUCAAUCUUUUUAAUAGCAUCUUGGGGUGAAUGGCCUACUGUACCUUCUCUGUUUUCCAAAUUUCGACCAAAAUGUUUGUCUUUUAAUUCCCCUGUUUCACUUAUUUCACUUCUUGCAGCAUUCCUUUCUUGAUCUUCUUUUCCAUGGGAUGCAUGUCUCCAUGUGUUUUGAGCUUCCCCCAUAUUCUCAUGGCGAGGCACCACUAUUCCUUGGUCUACAUAAUCUGAAGACUCGCCAUCAGCAUUAUGAUCUGAAGGAUUCUUCAUCUCUCCACUUGCAUGUUCAUUACCUUGAUUAUGGGUGGCUCUUGGUGCCCCACCACAAUUAUCUGCAAGUGAC